RNAcentral lists this ribosomal RNA (467 nucleotides) under uncultured bacterium. RNAcentral's name for it is "bacterial SSU rRNA". It matches the Rfam family "Bacterial small subunit ribosomal RNA", at positions 330 to 795 of the family's 1533-position model. The record is from RNAcentral.
CCCAGACUCCUACGGGAGGCAGCAGUGAGGAAUAUUGGUCAAUGGCCGAGAGACUGAACCAGCCAAGUCGCGUGAGGGAUGACGGUCCUAUGGAUUGUAAACCUCUUUUGUCAGGGAGCAAAGGGCGCCACGUGUGGCGCUUUGCGAGUACCUGAGGAAAAAGCAUCGGCUAACUCCGUGCCAGCAGCCGCGGUAAUACGGAGGAUGCGAGCGUUAUCCGGAUUUAUUGGGUUUAAAGGGUGCGCAGGCGGGCUGUUAAGCCGGCGGUAAAAAUUCAGGGCUCAACCCUGUCGAGCCGUCGGAACUGGCAGUCUUGAGUGGGCGAGAAGUAUGCGGAAUGCGUGGUGUAGCGGUGAAAUGCAUAGAUAUAACGCAGAACUCCGAUUGCGAAGGCAGCAUACCGGCGCUCAACUGACGCUCAUGCACGAAAGUGUGGGGAUCGAACAGGAUUAGAUACCCCGGUAUGC